GACGAACGCUGGCGGCGUGCUUAACACAUGCAAGUCGAACGGAAAGGCCCUGCUUUUGUGGGGUGCUCGAGUGGCGAACGGGUGAGUAACACGUGAGUAACCUGCCCUUGACUUUGGUAUAACUUCAGGAAACUGGGGCUAAUACCGGAUAGGAGCUCCUGCUGCAUGGUGGGGGUUGGAAAGUUUCGGCGGUUGGGGAUGGACUCGCGGCUUAUCAGCUUGUUGGUGGGGUAGUGGCUUACCAAGGCUUUGACGGGUAGCCGGCCUGAGAGGGUGACCGGCCACAUGGGGACUGAGAUACGGCGCAGACGCCUACGGGAGGCAGCAGGGGGGAAUAUUGCACAAUGGGCGGAAGCCUGAUGCAGCAACGCCGCGUGCGGGAUGACGGCCUUCGGGUUGUAAACCGCUGUCGCCUGUGACGAAGCGUGAGUGACGGUAAUGGGUAAAGAAGCACCGGCUAACUACGUG
This 468-nucleotide ribosomal RNA is filed under the name uncultured bacterium. RNAcentral's name for it is "partial 16S ribosomal RNA". It matches the Rfam family "Bacterial small subunit ribosomal RNA", at positions 28 to 507 of the family's 1533-position model. The record is from RNAcentral.